GACGAACGCUGGCGGCGUGCUUAACACAUGCAAGUCGAACGCUGAACCCGCUUCGGUGGGGGAUGAGUGGCGAACGGGGGAGUAACACGUGGGCAACCUGCCCCCGGCUCUGGGAUAACUCCAAGAAAUUGGGGCUAAUACCGGAUGUGACCGCUGGCCGCAUGGUCUGGUGGUGGAAAGGGUUUCCGGCUGGGGAUGGGCCCGCGGCCUAUCAGCUUGUUGGUGGGGUAGUGGCCUACCAAGGCGACGACGGGUAGCCGGCCUGAGAGGGUGACCGGCCCCCCUGGGACUGAGACACGGCCCAGACCUCUACGGGAGGCCACAGUGGGGAAUAUUGGGACAUGGGCGGAAGCCUGACGCAGCGACGCCGCGUGGGGGAUGACGGCCUUCGGGUUGUAAACCUCUUUCAGCAGGGACGAAGCGCAAGUGACGGUACCUGCAGAAGAAGCACCGGCCAACUACGUG
RNAcentral lists this ribosomal RNA (465 nucleotides) under uncultured bacterium. RNAcentral describes it as "partial 16S ribosomal RNA". It matches the Rfam family "Bacterial small subunit ribosomal RNA", at positions 28 to 507 of the family's 1533-position model. The record is from RNAcentral.